Molecule: ribosomal RNA, 459 nt
Filed under: uncultured bacterium
Lineage: Bacteria
Description: partial 16S ribosomal RNA
Rfam family: Bacterial small subunit ribosomal RNA
Source: RNAcentral
CCUACGGGGGGCAGCAGUGAGGAAUAUUGGUCAAUGGGCGGAAGCCUGAACCAGCCAAGUCGCGUGCAGGAUGACGGCCCUACGGGUUGUAAACUGCUUUUAUCCGGGAAUAACGCGCCUUACGUGUAGGGCUUUGCAUGUACCGUAUGAAUAAGGACCGGCUAAUUCCGUGCCAGCAGCCGCGGUAAUACGGAGGGUGCGGGCGUUGUCCGGAUUUAUUGGGUUUAAAGGGGGCGUAGGCCGAUGGUCAAGCGUGCGGUGAAAUUUCGGGGCUAAACCCGGCCCUGCCGGGGGAACCUGGGUGCUUGAGUGAGCGGGAAGCAGGCGGAAUGCGUGGUGUAGCGGUGAAAUGCAUAGAUAUGACGCAGAACCCCGAUUGCGAAGGCAGCUUGCUGGCGCGGAACUGACGCUGAUGCUCGAAAGUGCGGGUAUCGAACAGGAUUAGAUACCCUUGUAGUC